UACGAAGGGGGCUAGCGUUGCUCGGAAUCACUGGGCGUAAAGGGUGCGUAGGCGGGUCUUUAAGUCAGGGGCGAAAUCCUGGAGCUCAACUCCAGAACUGCCUUUGAUACUGAGGAUCUCGAGUCCGGGAGAGGUGAGUGGAACUGCGAGUGUAGAGGUGAAAUUCGUAGAUAUUCGCAAGAACACCAGUGGCGAAGGCGGCUCACUGGCCCGGUACUGACGCUGAGGUGCGAAAGCGUGGGGAGCAAACAGG
Molecule: ribosomal RNA, 253 nt
Filed under: uncultured bacterium
Lineage: Bacteria
Description: partial 16S ribosomal RNA
Rfam family: Bacterial small subunit ribosomal RNA
Source: RNAcentral